Molecule: ribosomal RNA, 426 nt
Filed under: uncultured bacterium
Lineage: Bacteria
Description: partial 16S ribosomal RNA
Rfam family: Bacterial small subunit ribosomal RNA
Source: RNAcentral
UGGGGAAUAUUGGACAAUGGGCGAAAGCCUGAUCCAGCCAUGCCGCGUGUGUGAAGAAGGUCUUCGGAUUGUAAAGCACUUUAAGUUGGGAGGAAGGGCAUUAACCUAAUACGUUAGUGUUUUGACGUUACCGACAGAAUAAGCACCGGCUAACUCUGUGCCAGCAGCCGCGGUAAUACAGAGGGUGCAAGCGUUAAUCGGAAUUACUGGGCGUAAAGCGCGCGUAGGUGGUUUGUUAAGUUGGAUGUGAAAUCCCCGGGCUCAACCUGGGAACUGCAUUCAAAACUGACUGACUAGAGUAUGGUAGAGGGUGGUGGAAUUUCCUGUGUAGCGGUGAAAUGCGUAGAUAUAGGAAGGAACACCAGUGGCGAAGGCGACCACCUGGACUAAUACUGACACUGAGGUGCUAAAGCGUGGGAGCAAACA